Molecule: ribosomal RNA, 253 nt
Filed under: uncultured bacterium
Lineage: Bacteria
Description: partial 16S ribosomal RNA
Rfam family: Bacterial small subunit ribosomal RNA
Source: RNAcentral
UACAGAGGUCCCAAGCGUUGUUCGGAUUCACUGGGCGUAAAGGGUGCGUAGGCGGUCGGGUAAGUCUGACGUGAAAUCUUCAAGCUUAACUUGGAAACUGCGUCGGAUACUAUUCGGCUGGAGGAAUGGAGGGGAGACUGGAAUACUUGGUGUAGCAGUGAAAUGCGUAGAUAUCAGGAAGAACACCAAUGGCGAAGGCAGCUCUCUGGGACGGUACUGACGCUGAGACGCGAAAGCGUGGGGAGCGAACAGG